GGAUAUGUUGUUGCCCUUACAC
This 22-nucleotide non-coding RNA is filed under the name Rattus norvegicus (Norway rat). Lineage: Eukaryota; Metazoa; Chordata; Mammalia; Rodentia; Muridae. The record is from RNAcentral.